CCUCUCCUCUAGAGAACCAGGUCUGUCUGUCCGCCUCUCCUCUAGAGAACCAGGUCUGUCUGUCCGUCUCUCCUCUAGAGAAGCAGGUCUGUCUGUCCGUCUCUCCUCUAGAGAAGCAGGUCUGUCUGUCUGUCCGUCUCUCCUCUAGAGAAGCAGGUCUGUCUGUCCGUCUCUCCUCUAGAGAACCAGGUCUGUCUGUCCGUCUCUCCUCUAGAGAACCAGGUCUGUCUGUCCGUCUCUCCUCUAGAGAACCAGGUCUGUCUGUCCGCCUCUCCUCUAGAGAACCAGGUCUGUCUGUCCGCCUCUCCUCUAGAGAACCAGGUCUGUCUGUCCGCCUCUCCUCUAGAGAACCAGGUCUGUCUGUCCGCCUCUCCUCUAGAGAACCAGGUCUGUCUGUCCGCCUCUCCUCUAGAGAACCAGG
Molecule: long non-coding RNA, 421 nt
Organism: Oncorhynchus tshawytscha (Chinook salmon)
Lineage: Eukaryota; Metazoa; Chordata; Actinopteri; Salmoniformes; Salmonidae
Source: Ensembl